Molecule: long non-coding RNA, 520 nt
Organism: Carya illinoinensis
Lineage: Eukaryota; Viridiplantae; Streptophyta; Magnoliopsida; Fagales; Juglandaceae
Exons: 3
Source: RefSeq, a predicted model, not a curated record
CUCUCUCUCUCUCUCUCUCUCUCUCUCUCUCAAUCCGAAGAAACCCUAGCCUCUGUCCCUCACUACCGAUCGAAGACAAGAAUCAAGAUGGCCUCCCUUUCCUCCCUCAUUGCCGAUCGAAGAAAAGAAAAAGAUUUGCAGAGGGUCUCAAACUAGUGGACACUGGUAGCUAUCGGUGAGAUCUAACAAAGGGGGAAAUCCUUCGCUUUCUGUCUGAGGAUGCACAAGUGUUGGGUGCUCUGUCGUUUUCUUCAUCGGUCGAGCAAUGGAAGAUCUCAGAAGUUCUCUCUACAAUGAGCUAUGAACCUCCGAAGGUGCGAAGUGCCAACAUCGGCAGUUUUGUGGGCCAGUGGUGGCAUUGACCUUUUCUUUCUUGUGUUUUUUGGUAGUUUAUGCUUGUAAGGAGUAAGCAAGUAGCACAGGUUUUUGGCUUAAUUUGAGUUACUUGAUUUGAGCUAAUAGUUGAUAGUUUUAGAUCCCUUUUUUUCUUUUUUCUGCUGCUUUUUUUUUUUCUGGGAAG